Molecule: long non-coding RNA, 7539 nt
Organism: Vespa velutina
Lineage: Eukaryota; Metazoa; Arthropoda; Insecta; Hymenoptera; Vespidae
Exons: 4
Source: RefSeq, a predicted model, not a curated record
UGAAGCGCAACUCGAAAGCGGACGAGCUAUCCUCUGGUCCGAGUUGCAUUUGAUCUAUUCGCUUAACGAAAUUACGAUUUCCAUUAUAUAUACAUAUAUAUAUAUAUAUAUAUGCGUGCGUGUGUGUGUGUAUGUGUGUGUACACUAUUUCGAAUUAUCAUAGAUUUUUCUCAAUGGAAUCGUAAAGAGACGCGUAAGGUAUUCGUUCUGCCGCAUCUGCCAGCACCGGCUUCUUCGCCGACUUCGUUUCCACGCACGGAAACACAUAAUUGAAAGGCGAGGAGAGCCUCGUAAAUAACUGCGCUAAUUAUUUCUAGCCCCGCCAAUUUCCUGCCUCCUCCUUGCACUCCCUCGUUCUUCCCCCUUCCCCUUUCCUUCCUUUCUCCCUCCUUCUCCUCUUCCUCCUCCACUUCUUCCUUCCCUUCCUACAGUUCUUCCUUUCUAUUUCUCUCUGUCUCUCUUUCUCUUUCUCUCUCUCUCUCUCUCUCUCUCUCUCUCUCUCUCUCUUAUUCUGAACACUGUUUCCUUCCAACCUGACUUUCCUCGUUUACCCAAGAAAUUUACGCCAGUAAGACGAACUCUACAUCAACGUAUUUAUUAUUUUUACUGAAGAAAAAAUAAAAAAAAAUAAAAAUAAGAAAUAAAAGAAAGAGAGAAAAAAAAUUGGAGGAUUCUGAUAAUAAAAUAUUUGUGAUUUGUUGCCGAUUUCGGAGCGACUUUAUUUUCGAGGUUAAUGAAAGGACCUUGACUGAUUUCACGAGCGUACGCGCACGCACGAGUAUCGCAAAACUUCUCGAGGGGAGAACUCGCGAAAGAAAAGGGAGAAAAAAAAAUAUAGAGGAAGACUGUGCGCAGAAAGAACAGUCACGCUUCCGCGGAUCAUCCUCCGAGCCAGGACGAAUCUUAUAUCUCAAAGUUUGAAGAAUUCAACUUUGGAAGAAUCGGGUCUUUUAAAAAUCAUAGAUUAAAAGAGAGAGAGAGAGAGAGAGAGAGAGAGAGAGAGAGAGAGAGAGAGAGAGAGAGAGAGAGAGAGAGAGAAAGAAAGAGAGAGAGAAAGAGAGAGAGAGAGAGAGAGAAAGAGAAAAAGGUUCGUAUCUCUUUCGGCAAGGAUUCUUAUCGUCGAGAGGGAACCGCUUCCAGAUUUUAACCAGCUCUACGGUGGAACCCGGGUACAUUUUCUCUUCAGCCAGUAUUUGGGCCAAGUGUUCUCCCUCGUCUGGGCUGUAAAUGAGGCCCUAUUCCACCGGCGCCGUCACUUGACUUACUUGGCUAAAAGGAAAGAGAAAAAGAAACGCCUAGUAGAGAAGAGCGCAUCGUGGAAAAUGAGAGAAAUUAUGGGUGGUACGCCUGCUCCUCCUCCAUCUCUAGCAGCAGCCACCAAAAAAAGCUCAGUCGAGAAAGAUUUCAAGUACGUCGAGCACGUCACUCGUACAAUGCCCUAGGAUUAGAAUUUUCUAACCGAGUAACUCGUUAUUUCGUUGGUAAAUGUAGCAGCUUUUUUCAUUCCUCGGUCAAUCCUUUAAACGUCGUCGAAAAGUGAGAUACCCCAAAGACCAAAACUUUGCUAUUUCGUCCGCAAACUCGUUCGCAUCUCGAACGAGGUACCCUGCCAGUUUUAAGCCGACAAAAACUCUCUCAACCGUAUUUGGGACAAGUACUGUACCCGUCUGGCUUGAAAAUGAGGCCCUGUCUACUGCUGCCGCCAUCACUUGACUUACUUGGAUAAAAGAGAAAAAAGGGACGGAAAUAGCAAAACGGAGGUAGGCGAAAUGGAAAAGAAGGGAAGUGGAAAGGAACGACGGCGAAUGAACUCGUCGCUUUGAUCGAGAAUACGAGGGAGUUGAAAGAAGAAGUUAACUGCGACUGUUCUCAAGAAAAUCGUCAUUGCAAAAAAUUAACGCAUCCAAUUUAUUCGUCCAACUGUGUUCGAGAGAACGAGAAUUUAGCGAAAGAGGGGAGAGAGAGAGAGAGAAAACGGCCUAUGCGGAAAACCACUUGUUCCUUGGCAGAUAGCUUCGUGUCAAGGAACGGCAUAGAGCAGUCCGACGUCGACACUGAGGCCAAAACCGCCAACGACAACUCGACGACGAUGAUACAUCCAUCUGGAUCGUCUAGACCACUUAUAUGCUAUAACAUAUCAUUGUCGCGGCCGCUCAUUAUAAUCUAUGCCGUGACACAGUCGGCGCUCGGUCGAAUCACGAUGAGAAAACGGACCAGACUCGUUCUAUUUGAGACGAGACGAGUUUCCUGCGAAAACAUAAUCCAUGUUUCGAAUAGAAUUACGUUGAAACUUUAAUCUACUCUUCGCUCGUCUAAAAAGCUGACGAAGGAGAUUAAAAUAUAGGAGACUAAAAUUUUCCGUCUCGGUGAAGGUAUAACGCUAACGAGAUAUAUCCUAGCUUAUAUAUUUAUACGGAUCGACCGAGAAUAAGAGAGUUUGCCGAUUUUAUAUAAUAAAAAUGUACAUAUGAUAUAUCUCUCUCUUGAACAAACGACUUGAUCCAUCGUGAGAGACAAUAAUGUUUUCUUUUGGAACGAAAGAAUACCGAGAACGUCUGGGUUACGUCAAUCGAUCGAUAGUGCAAGAAUUGGAAGAGAACGACUAGGUAGAAUAUCAAGAGAGGAGGAUAGAAAGAGACGACGAAACCGUCGUCGUUUCAAACUUUCAUACGAAACGGCGACCGAUGUUAACCGUCUGGGAGAGAAACUAUUCUCGUUCCUUCCAGGUGUCGCGACCCAGAUCUCUACGAUCUUACCGCAAAAUAAGUUUUAUCCGAGUAAGCUUUGAAAGUUCCAUCUUCUAAGAAAAUAGGCAAAUAGGGCAAAACGUUUCGAUGGGAGACAAUACAUCGUGACGAUUACCGAUUAACGCCCGCCAACCGGCAGUCGCCAGCUACGAACACGUCGCGACGUCUACACACUCGACAUCUACUUCACUAUCAUCGUUUAACUUUGGACGAGCACUCUUGAUGCGUGCGCGUAUUCGAAUGCGUACGCUCAUCAUUCGUCGCCUCCGUCAAUUCAUCGCUCUAUCUAUUUAUCAUGUCGACCUUGAUGAAGUUCUUCCUUCCUUUUUAUACUUUCUUUAAAUGUUAAAAACUUAACGUCGAACAUUUGUCGAACUUUUUACGAAACUUGUCGAGAACAACAGGAAGAAAAAGAUCAGAUGUCUUUUUUUAAUUAAAGUUUGCUAUUCGGAAAUAUAGGAAAUGUCUAAAACUGAAAAAAACACGAGCGCAAAAGUGUGGUCGGUCAUCUUUGAUGCAGGACGUGCGGAAAUUCCUGGAUCGAGAAAGCAGACUCUCCCAUUCUCUUUCUCUUUCUCUCUCUCUCUCUCUCUCUCUCUCUCUCUCUCUCUCUCUCUUUCUCUCUCGCUCAGUUUCAUUUGUUCUCCGAUAGACAUUGGGACUUGGACAGACAAAACGGUGCCGGCAGACGUACAAUAACAUAUUGGGAAUUCGCAGGUUCUUCUUCCGGAGGAAGAGGAGAAGGAGCAGGAGGACGGUGGUAGUGUGCCAGACGGUCUGUGCCAGUUCGAAAGUUUGUCCCGGUUUGCCCGUCUGGCAUUACCGGAGAUGAGGGUGUAGGAGAUGGUAGUACGUGAACACCGCUACUGCGGUCGUAGUAGUCGUUGUCGUCGCACCUUGACAGGUUGAAUGUGGGCUUCCAUGCGCGGAGACAGCAUAUUGGGUUCGAAACUUUGCUCGUUUACAACGCCGCCGGUGUGUCCGCCGUCGCCUCCGGUCGCUACCAAGAGCCGUCGUAGCUUUCUGAAAUAAACGUCACAGACUUCUCUUUGCUUCUACUCUGUCUCUCUCUCUCUCUUUCUCUCGGCAUUUCCAACGGCAACUCCAAUUCUACGUUCUGUUUUUAUCCCUUACGUCGUGUCUCACCUCUUCAGGACAGGCUUUCACCCUAUGAAUUCACCCAAAAAAUUCGAUUCUCUGAACGGUACCUCCCUGAUGUUUUUCGAAACGAGGAAAAAUAAUAACCGUUAUCUAUCCAUGUGAAAAAAAUUCCUUUUGUAGAGAAUUAGAAGGUGGGAGGGAGAUACGAAGGGAAGAGCCAAGCCAAUAAACAAAGCUACUAUCGAGAGAUCCUCACGAGAUUAACGCGAACGAAAGGCGAGACUGAAAUCUAUUUCGGAGAGAAGGAGAAAAGGGAUCUUCUGCUCGCUUAGUCCCUUGUCGUCGUGUUUGCAGAGAAUUAAUUAGUGUUUAGCUGUCUAUAGAGUGUAGAGUCCGUAGACUAAACUAGACAUACACAUAGGUAGAAUGCGGCGAGAUCGUCUGCGCGCAGACGAGGCUUUCCAAGAGAGAAUAGACAGGGAACAUGCGGCAUGGAAGAUCGAGUAAAGGGAGAGAGUACAAGGGAAUACAGAGAGACAGAGACAGAGAGAGAGAGAGAGAGAGAAAGAGAGAGAGAGAGAGAGAGAGAGAGAGAAAGAGAAUAUAUAUGAGAGAGAUGAAGAUAGACAGGUACAGGAGGCAUAGACGUAUCGGAGACGUCAGGGGAGCGGUCCAUAUACUUCCUGAGGAGAGCACGCGUGUUACCACCAUGUUCGUGCGAUAAUCCUGUGAUGGAUGUCCCUAGAUGCUCGUCGGUGAAGCCUCGAGCGUCCUGCGCGCGCUAACGUCGAUCCACUCGCGUCGCAUUAAUGUGUGUACGUUUGCGUGCGUGUUUACCCAGACGGAAGCCGUCUGGCGGUGAUAGGCCAACCUAGAUGACGUAUUGUACUCGCCGUGUCUAUUCGUUCGUUGCCGCUUCAUCGGAAUAGCUAAAACUCGAGAAUCCGUGCGUCAGUCCGAGCGGAAACCUCUUGCGGCCGCGUCAUAACGUAUCAUAGGGAUCGAAGAGGAUUCGGACGAUACGAAAAAUCCGCGCAACGAUAGAAUGCUCUCUAGUACAGGAAAUCAUCGAAUUGACUUGACCGCAUAUUUCUCUCUCUUACUCUUUCUUUCUCUUUCUCUCUCUCUCUCUCUCUCUCUCUCUCUCUUUCUCUCUUGUUAUUUUUCGUCCUGUUGCAUCCUCUUUGCUUGCCUUGUUAAGAUUUACUUCUACGAGCUUAAAACGAACUGAACUAACUCAAUUUUUAAAAAAUCCUUUCAUUAUCAAAAAGUCGGACUUAAAACCUAAUCUUCAGAUUUUAAAGAUUAUCAACUUCAUUCCUUUUGACUGUUAUAUUCUAAAUUCUAGAAUCCACAUAAGUGGAUGGUCAGGGAUUCUAAUGAGCCAAUCAAAGAAAUAAAAGAUACUCUUCCGGGAAAAGCGAAGAAGAUAGGGUUAACGCAUAUUUGAUUAUCUAUAUCGGCGGAUCGUUUAAUUAAUUUGGCCUGUCUCGACGUACGUUCGACCACAUUCGGUGCGUCAUGUACUGCUGGCGCGUUGUAAUUAAUAGAUCUCUCUCUCUCUCUCUCUCUCUCUCUCUCUCUCUCUCUCUCUCUCUCUCUCUCUCUCUCUCUCUCUCUCUCUCUCUCUCUCUCUCUCCCUCUCGUAUUAACCUCACCACCCGUCCUAUUCCCUCUCUCAUUGUACAUAUUUGUGUGUCCGGGCGAUUGUUCGCGCAACGUGCGCUAUGCGGAUCGUGUACGCACAUCUCGUCUAGACCGAUCGACCGGCUUGCUCCUACUCCUGGAUCGUAUAUUCCUAGUUAGCUAACGUUAUGUGUAGCCGAUGGUACACGUACAUGGCGGCGGACGAACAUACGAUCAUACAAACAUACGAACAGACGAACGAACGAACGAGCAGACGGACGGAUGGACGGACAGAUAGACGGACGUUAAACCGAGACGCGGUUAUGCGUGCACGUGUGCACUUACCCUCUUGUGUGCAUAACAUUAUGCGUCCGCGUUCUGUCUGACCACCUCUAACCACCGAACCUAUGUAUCACAACAUCACCAUUAAUUUUCUUCCACCUCUUUGUCCCUACAAUUGAAGGAAUAAAGAUACUUUUUUGUUUUGUCGACUUUUUAUGCAUUAAUCUCGGUAUUAAGCGAUAAGGAAGAUUAAACACAUUUUUACGGUGACGUUAUUUAUUGCUAUUAGUAUCUCUAAAAGGAAAUAAUCUAUAUGGAAAAUUGAUCCAAUGAAAUCCGGUUGUAAUCAAGCUAAUCUAAUGAAUCUACACCUAACAUGUUCUUUAAUAAAUGUUAAUAUGUUUGACAUGUCUCUUUCUCAAUUUCUCUGUUUUUCCGUUUCUCCAUCUCUCUCUCUCUUUUUUUCUUUCUCUCUCUCUCUCUCCCUUUCUCCCUCCCUCCCUUUGUCUUCGAGGAAAAAGAUUGAAAUAAGGAUAACGAAAGGGAGAGAAAUGACACGGUAAUCUUGUAUCCACGUUUAAUCAGUGAAUCAUCGUCUAGAUGUUAGAGACGCUUGUGUUGGAUUUAUUUGUGACUGUGGAUUCCCACCUGUUGCCUCCCGCACCCCUUUCGAAUAGCUUGACUAGGACGACCUCUCUCUCUCUCUCUCUCUCUCUCUCUCUCUCUCCCUCUCUCUCUCUCUCUCUCUCUUACUCUCUUACUCUCUUCCUCCUUCUUCAUUAAAUACCAAUAUCCUUUUACAUUCUUUACUUCCGUAUAUCUAUCAAAAAAAUCAAAUUACUCUAUCCUAGACUAAAAUGAUCUUCGAAAAAUACGAUAAACGGAAUUUAUCGAUCGAUCUUAUGUAUAUAAAUGUAAUCUUUUAAAAAAUAAAAUAAAAUAAUAUCAUUCGCGUAUAAUCUUUUAUAAAAGUUUUUAAAUGGCCGUCUCACUUUUUCGUGAGACUGUCGCAAGCAUAGCGAUUUUUAAAAGAAGACAAUAACUCGGUCUCAGAUGAGGAAAGAGAAACGGAGAGAUGCUAGAGAGAAAGGUGGAAAGAAAUAGAUCUUCCUCUAGCAUCCUUGUGUAUUCGUAACUAUACUCGAAUUCUUAACUAUCCUUUUCUCUCUCUCUCUCUCUCUCUCUCUCUCUCUCUCUCUCUCUCUCUUACGACAUUACAUAAUAUCGAGACGACCUUGCAUUUCGUCGUAGCGCCCGCGGCAGGGCUUUCCAGGGAUGCAUAGUCUUUGACUUCCGUCGCGUCCUUCAAACCUUUCCUCUUUUCAGCCCUUCCGGGACUCUUUUCUCUUUUUCCUCUUCUCCCUUUUUCUUUCUUUCUUUCUUCCUUUCUUGCUCUCGCCAAAAAAAGGGAAGAACAGUCUCCAAUGGAAGGUGAGAAGGACCGAAGAAGAAGGUAAUGCUGGAUAUGCCAGCAACAGGUACGGCCAAGAAAUAAAGUCGCCUUGUCAAGAUCAGACUUUUCUCCUCCUUCUCUAUUCCUUCUUUUUUUUCAUUCUUACUAAUCCUUACUCUUUUAUUAUCAUUUUUCCUUUCACACAUACGCUUAUCUAAUCGUAACGUCAUUAAUUUCAUUUCCAUAUAUUCGCAAUAAUUUUCAAUCGCGAUGUUUCCAAAGAACGAAACGUCCAAAGAAAGAAAAGAAAGAAAAGAAAGAAAAGAAAGAAAAAAAAGAAAAAAAAUGACUUCUAUUUAUAUUAUAUCUUCUAUAUUAAAUUAAAUAAUU